This 91-nucleotide transfer RNA is filed under the name Planctomycetota bacterium. RNAcentral's name for it is "Planctomycetes bacterium (wastewater metagenome) tRNA-Leu". It matches the Rfam family "tRNA". Rfam says of the family: Transfer RNA (tRNA) molecules are approximately 80 nucleotides in length. The record is from RNAcentral. Lineage: Bacteria; Pseudomonadati; Planctomycetota.
GCCGGGGUGGCGAAAUCGGCAGACGCAGGGGACUUAAAAUCCCUUGAGGGGUAACACUCUCGUGCGGGUUCGACCCCCGCCCCCGGCACCA